GUAGGUGGCAAGCGUUGUCCGGAAUUAUUGGGCGUAAAGCGCGCGCAGGCGGUUCUUUAAGUCUGAUGUGAAAGCCCACGGGCUCAACCGUAGAGGGUCAUUGGAAACUGGAGAACUUGAGUACAGAAGAGGAAAGCGGAAUUCCACGUGUAGCGGUGAAAUGCGUAGAGAUGUGGAGGAACACCAGUGGCGAAGGCGGCUUUCUGGUCUGUAACUGACGCUGAGGCGCGAAAGCGUGGGGAGCAAACAGGAUUAGAUACCCUGGUAGUCCACGCCGUAAACGAUGAGUGCUAAGUGUUAGGGGGUUUCCGCCCCUUAGUGCUGCAGCUAACGCAUUAAGCACUCCGCCUGGGGAGUACGGCCGCAAGGCUG
RNAcentral lists this ribosomal RNA (372 nucleotides) under uncultured organism. RNAcentral describes it as "partial 16S ribosomal RNA". It matches the Rfam family "Bacterial small subunit ribosomal RNA", at positions 527 to 896 of the family's 1533-position model. The record is from RNAcentral.